GAUGAACGCUGGCGGCGUGCCUAAUACAUGCAAGUCGAGCGAGGUAGCUUGCUACCUAGCGGCGAACGGGUGAGUAACACGUAGGUAACCUGCCUUUGAGACUGGGAUACCCGAGCGAAAGUUCGGCUUAUACCGGAUAACAACGGAGACGGCAUCGUCUCCGCUUGAAAGGUGCGUUUGCACCACUCUUAGAUUGGACCUCUGCGGCACAUUAGCUAGUUGGUGAGAUAAUAGCCCACCAAGGCGAGGAUGUGUAGCCGACCUGAGAGGGUGACCGGCCACAAUGGGACUGAGACACGGCCCAUACUCCUACGGGAGGCAGCAGUAGGGAGUUUUCGGCAAUGGGCGAAAGCCUGACCGAGCAACGCCGCGUGAGUGAUGAAGGUCUUCGGAUUGUAAAGCUCUGUCAGGAGGGACGAAAUCUGCGAUCAGGAAAUGGGUUGCAGUUGACGGUACCUCGUAAGGGAAGUGACGGCUAACUACGUGCCAGCAGCCCGCGGUAUACGUAGUCACGAGCGUUAUCAGAUUAUGGGGCGUAAGAGUGAGCAGCGGCAUAGCCAGGUCUGAGUGAAAGCGUGGGUCGACCAUACAGCUUCGGUCACGUACUAGCUUAAUUGCGUUGAUAGUUAAACGAGACUCCCCUCCUGUGA
RNAcentral lists this ribosomal RNA (650 nucleotides) under uncultured bacterium. Its description in RNAcentral is "bacterial SSU rRNA". It matches the Rfam family "Bacterial small subunit ribosomal RNA", at positions 28 to 684 of the family's 1533-position model. The record is from RNAcentral.